Long non-coding RNA from Nomia melanderi (Alkali bee), 1808 nucleotides. RefSeq lists it as uncharacterized. The record is from RefSeq and is a predicted model, not a curated record. Lineage: Eukaryota; Metazoa; Arthropoda; Insecta; Hymenoptera; Halictidae.
CGUCGCAUCGGUCCUCUCGAGCUCCUUGGGUUACACAUGGAUGCUCUUCUCCCCAAAAGUUCCAUCGGUUCUAUUGAGUAGUGGUAGCUUCGAAUGUUGUUUUGUAUAAUAUAUAGAAAUUAGUUUCACUCAGGUAACAGAUAUCGGUAUGGGCAGGAUUAGUUUUUUAGGGGAUGGAGGAGUGCAGAGGCAUAUAUUAUACGAAACAACGUUCAAAGUUACCACUACUAUUGACAAAGAGAACUGGUGGAACUUUUGUCAGGAUGUGUACACGUAAUCUAAAAAGAUCGAGUGCUGAUUGAUGCAAGCUGCCACCGAAGUGACGAUUAUGUGGUUAUACAUGCAGUUCUCUCACGGACGCGCUCAUGUAUACAGAAUUCAGUGGAGUAAUAGCAAAAGUUUGUCGCGAUCAUCUCGGAAACUAAAGCUUCCGUUGACGACGCAUAAAGGAAAAAGUCGUUUAAAAUCAUGCCCCCCGCAUUAUAUUUGAAAAUCAUCAAAACCGGAGAGGACUAAGCAGAUAGAGAACUUCACCUAAUAUUUUUUAUUUUGGUCUUACAUCUACCCAGAAAUGGAUUUGAUCUACAAUAAUUCUCUCUCAUCCUAUCAUAUACACAGAUAUUGGUGGAUAUAGAAUAUUGGAAACAGAACAAGCCAAAAAGAAUUGAAGUUGUUGAAAAACUUAUAUGUAAUAUAUAUAACAUACAUAUCUCCGCGAUCUUACGGAAAUCUAUGCUGGCACUGUAUCUCCAAUUUGAUAUUACGCACAGACUGCUUUCAGGACACAAAGUGAUAUUAUUUGUUAAUUAGGUUUAUGAAGUUUAGGCUAAUGAAGGAAAGGUGCAAAUACAUAAAGAUUACCUUCUACUAGUAUGUAAACACUACCUAUAUUGCAAUUUCUACAAGAUAUUCUCUUAGGAGGAAUGUAAACACACAAAUAGUCAGAGACAAAAUUAUAGCACACUCAAGGUUUAUUGUGAUUUUCUUCAGUCUGUCACGAGGUUUAAGGAAGUUAAAGUGGUCAGUCAGUGUUCAGUGCUUCCUGACAUUGGUAUCUGUCACAUUACGUGAUGGGUCGUGGUAAAAGAUUGUCUAACAGUGAAAUAAACGCAAUUCUUAUUUUAAGAAAACAGAAAGUAACAGUGAAAUGAAAUGAAAAGCUGAGUAUAACGUAUUAAAAGACGUGGAUAACUACGGUAAAAGGAAAAGCACUGGAAGGCCAGCAAUCCUAUCACACCGUGACACGAUAGCAAUACUUCGUGGAGCAUCAAAUUCUUGUGCUACUGCAAGAGAAAUUGCUUGUAAAGCUGGUGUACAUACUAAUAUUCAAAAUGUUCAAACGUUGAAUUUGCGAAAAAACACAUACUGAAGGAAAACCUAUAAUAUAAUCUUUAGAAAUGAAAAACGGUUUUGUCUGGAUGGUCCAGAUAGUAGUGCAUACUAUUAUCAUGACAUUCAGAAAGGACAAUUAACAAAAAUUAGACGACAAAUGAAAGGAGGUGGAACAAUGAUUUAGGCCGGCAUAUGUUACAAAGGGAAAACGGAUAUUAAUUUUAUACAAGGAAAAAUGAAUAGUGCAAGUUAUUUGAAAUUAAUUAAAAACCAAAUUGAUAAGUAUGCACAAUGCAUUGCAGUAUGGCCGGCCUGUUCUCCGAAUCUCAACAUAAUUGAAAACUGUUGGGGAUUAUUAUCAAAAGCUGUCUACGCAGAAGGUAGACAAUUUGAAAAUUUAAAUGAUUUAAAUAUCUGUAUUAAAGGGGAAUGGAAAAAUUUAUUACUAUGUUCGAUUGAAGUAUUGUAUAAAUCCU